Molecule: ribosomal RNA, 750 nt
Filed under: uncultured Gigasporaceae
Lineage: Eukaryota; Fungi; Glomeromycota; Glomeromycetes; Diversisporales; Gigasporaceae
Description: SSU rRNA
Rfam family: Eukaryotic small subunit ribosomal RNA
Source: RNAcentral
GCCUACCAUGGUUUUAACGGGUAACGGGGAAUUAGGGUUCGAUUCCGGAGAGGGAGCCUGAGAAACGGCUACCACAUCCAAGGAAGGCAGCAGGCGCGCAAAUUACCCAAUCCCGACACGGGGAGGUAGUGACAAUAAAUAACAAUACAGGGCUCUUACGGGUCUUGUAAUUGGAAUGAGUACAAUUUAAAUCCCUUAACGAGGAACAAUUGGAGGGCAAGUCUGGUGCCAGCAGCCGCGGUAAUUCCAGCUCCAAUAGCGUAUAUUAAAGUUGUUGCAGUUAAAAAGCUCGUAGUUGAAUUUCGGGAUUCUACCGUCGGUCGGGCUACCAAGUCUGUACUGGCGUGUAGAAUUCCUACCUUCUGGGGAACCAUCAUGUUAUUAAUUUAGCGUGGUGGGAAACCAGGACCUUUACCUUGAAAAAAUUAGAGUGUUCAAAGCAGGCUUAUGUCUGAAUACAUUAGCAUGGAAUAAUAGAAUAGGACGGUGGUCCUGUUUUGUUGGUUUCUGAAUCACCGUAAUGAUUAAUAGGGAUAGUUGGGGGCAUUAGUAUUCAAUUGUCAGAGGUGAAAUUCUUGGAUUUAUUGAAGACUAACUUCUGCGAAAGCAUUUGCCAAGGAUGUUUUCAUUAAUCAAGAACGAAAGUUAGGGGAUCGAAGACGAUCAGAUACCGUCGUAGUCUUAACCAUAAACUAUGCCGACUAGGGAUCGGACGAUGUUAAAUUUUAUUGACUCGUUCGGCGCCUUACG